CCGGGCCUUGAAGCAUAGGGUUUGACGAAACCUUCUAAUUUCUGUUUCUGCUUUCUCCUGCAUGAAUGAAGAAAAAAGGUUGAUGCAAUAGCUUGUGAAGAUAACUUGCUCACCAUCAAGAAAAAACUUUCGCUCUUUCUUCUGUCCUAAAGCUGAAAGGAGCAGAUAAAUUUGGAGACUGUAAUUUGUUUUUGCAGGCAGUCAAGGACUUGGAACUUCUGGCAUACAUAGACAAUUGUCAAGCAAAUUUUUAGAGGCUCUUCAAGUUGAAUGGCACAAAUACAGCUUCGACUCAUGGGAUUUGGAAUUUUGAGCAUUUAACAUGGAGUUUUCAUUUUCUUUUGAUUGUUUUCAGGACAAUCGGAGAAAGAAUAUGUUGACUUCUCUUCACCCACAAAAUAUAGCACAGGAAACUACUGGUAGAUAUACCAGCUUCUGUAGGCGAACUCCUCGUGAUUGGAGUGACAUCAUUAUUUUCCUUCCCUGGAUGAAUCAAAAGCGUAGAUUUGGCAGGUGAAGCAGGAACUUUAGGUGCUCUAUGACGAGUUGAUGGUUUUGAAGAUGAAAAUGCCGGUUUCUUCUUUCU
Molecule: long non-coding RNA, 586 nt
Organism: Rhododendron vialii
Lineage: Eukaryota; Viridiplantae; Streptophyta; Magnoliopsida; Ericales; Ericaceae
Exons: 3
Source: RefSeq, a predicted model, not a curated record